Molecule: long non-coding RNA, 409 nt
Organism: Temnothorax curvispinosus
Lineage: Eukaryota; Metazoa; Arthropoda; Insecta; Hymenoptera; Formicidae
Exons: 3
Source: RefSeq, a predicted model, not a curated record
UUCAGCAAUUUAAUACAAAGACGGACUAGAUCGGGCGAGGAUCAUACAGAAAGGGCGUUUCACAUAUCUACUAGAAUAGUGUUGGACGAAAGCGUGAUACCUAAACGAUAUACCAGAGUAUUGCUACAUGAUGUGUAUCUAGAUACCGUUGACUUGUCAUUAAUACUGAGAGGAAGCGGUUAUGGAAAUAGUGCUGGUAGUUUGUGAGAGGUUCAAGCUCUGACACAUACGGGCCGAAUGCGAGCAAGCCCAUUAGAGGAAGCGAUGGAAUUGUAUCAGAUUGGACGGAUAUAUUAUCGCAAGGCUGCGAGGAUCUUAUUUUAGAGUAUCUCACCUUGGAAUCAUUACCGACUGUUCUCAAGUGGGGCAGUCAACCUCAUGGAUCAGCAUGGGUGCACAGACAAGCGUU